This 207-nucleotide ribosomal RNA is filed under the name uncultured bacterium. RNAcentral's name for it is "partial 16S ribosomal RNA". It matches the Rfam family "Bacterial small subunit ribosomal RNA", at positions 568 to 774 of the family's 1533-position model. The record is from RNAcentral.
CGAGUAGACGGCCAUACAAGUCAGAUGUGAAAACUUAGAGCUCAACUUUAAGACUGCAUCUGAAACUGUAUAGCUAGAGUGCAGGAGAGGAAAGUGGAAUUUCUAGUGUAGCGGUAAAAUGCAUAGAUAUUAGGAGGAACACCAGUGGCGAAGGCGACUUUCUGGACUGUAACUGACGUUGAGGCGCGAAAGUGUGGGGAGCAAACA